UUUCCACACAAGACUCCAAUGCACGGGGGCAUGGAAGAAAGCAUGUAGUCUGCCCGGCCCUUUGGCAGAUGAUCCCUGACAGGACCUGUUUCCAGAUACCCUUCAUGCUCUUGGACACAGCCCUGAGUGACUUGCUGGAGGACACGAGUGCACACUGCUUUCUAAUGAAGAUUAUACUCUGCUCUCUUUUGGGUAGGAAGUAAAGGGCUUAGGCCACAGAUAUUAUGGGGAAUUAUCUCAGACUGAUUCCCUAGUGAAAGAAGAAAAUCAUGUAACGGCACAGGCUGCUCCUCCUCUCAUCCUCUUACACCAGCAGGGCCCCACAAGAGGAGUCUGGAUCAUGGUAUCAAACUUUCACUCAACAAGUACUUGUCCCUUGGCUGCCAUGUCCAGGAAUUGUGCGGGUCACCUACAGUGUGAUGGUGAUCACAACAGGUGGGAGCACCUCUGCUGCAGCCCUGAAAGGGCCUCUCGGGAUGUGGAUCUUUGCUACCCAGCAUGUUCACUGGGUCAGCCUUUGAUGACCUGCCUAAGUCCAGUCUGAAGACACCAAGCACAUGGAUUUGCUGAUGUGGGCCCUGCCUGCUCUGUCCUAGCCUGUCUUUAGCAGCUGGCCGCUCACUGUCUCUGCCUGACGGUGCCUUUGCUCUGGGGUGCUUCAGUUUCCAUACUGCUCUCAAGCUCCAAGCUGUCACAAGGUCUGAGGUCUGGUCUGAGAGAAAGGCCCAGGUUGUUCCUAUCCAGAUACUGCAGAUUCGAGAUGUUCCUUGACUUAUGAUGCUCUUAUGUACCAAAACAUCCAUCAGAAGCUGAAAAUAUUGUACACUGAAAAUGCUUUGGACACCCUAGCCCCAAACCUUUUAGAGUUUUCAAUGAUACCAACAGCACUUGGUGGCAUGUAUGCUAUGUGUUCACUACCACUGCCCUGACCCAUAGCACCACAGCCUCGCCACACAGGACAGCCUGGCAUUCAUUGUCCUGAGACAAGGGAAUGACCUGGAGCUGCAGCUCGUGGCUCUGUCCAGCCUCAGCAGAGAGUUCUGAAUCGUAUACUGUGGGCCCAGAAAAGAUCAAACUUCAAAACUGGAAGUUUCCACUGAAUGUGUAUUUCUUCUACAAUAUCAGAAAGCCGAAAAACCUUAACCUGAACCAUCAUCAGUUAGGGAUGCCUGCAUAUUCGAGCAACUAGCAGAGCCUGCACGACCAACACUCUUGGCAACUAUUCUCCAAUGGGAGAAUAAUGGACACAGUCCUGGGGAACCAAUGAGGCCAUGGAUCUGAGAGCCAGCUCUGCUGGGUGUGUGUGUCUGAUCUCCGCAGGAGUCACAUCACAGUGGCUGUGUCCUGACUCACUCCAGCAAAUGAGUGCCCUUCAAGCUGGCUGCUGAGCCACCCACCUACCCCUUUCCUAAGUGUGACCUGGAUACUCAUUUAUUUCCAACCAUUGCCUUUUAUCUUCUUUUCUGUAGAGGUAUUUCUGUCUCUUAAAGUCCAGCACCUGCCAGGGGAGACUGCUGGGCUUGGGCAAAAAAGCUGUGUUCUCCCAAAUAACUCCCUGGGCCAAAGGACUCUGGUGUGACUUACUUUGCAAUGGCAUUCUCAUCUAAGGCCCACUGAGCCCCCUUUCCUUUCAAGACUCCCAACCAUCCAUAGGGAGCAUUCGUUCUAACCCAGUGAAAGGAAAGGCCAUUGUCAGUGGAAGGUGGGGGGAUCUAGGAUAUAGAGUUCUCGGUAGCUUCAGAGGGACAUCACACUUCAUUCUCAAGAAAGAGCCUCUUGUUGAGGAACCAGAUCAACCAGGUGGGAUAAUGCCUGUCCUCCCGACUCCUGCACACCACUACUUCCCAGCAAAUGACUGCAGAACAGUCUCUCAGUGCUCACUGGUUUGGACUAUUGCACCACAUGCCCGCUCUGAGAAAGACUCUGCUUGGCAAGAUAGGCAAGUACCCAAGAAGUGCCCAGCAGGUGCAGGCAACCUUUGGAACUUCCAGAUAACUCUGCCCAGGAUUGUAUUUUCUUAACAACCUUGGCAUUCUUUUGAUUACAUGAACCUCUUGGUUCAAGAAAGCGUCAAA
This is a long non-coding RNA of Cavia porcellus (domestic guinea pig), 2075 nucleotides long. RefSeq lists it as uncharacterized. NCBI's taxonomy places the organism in Eukaryota, Metazoa, Chordata, Mammalia, Rodentia, Caviidae. The transcript has 2 exons. The record is from RefSeq and is a predicted model, not a curated record.